UACGUAGGGGGCGAGCGUUGUCCGGAUUUAUUGGGCGUAAAGAGCUCGUAGGCGGCUUGGCAAGUCGGGUGUGAAAACUCCAGGCUCAACCUGGAGAUGCCACUCGAGACUGCUAUGGCUAGAGUCCGGUAGGGGACCACGGAAUUCCUGGUGUAGCGGUGAAAUGCGCAGAUAUCAGGUGGAACACCGGUGGCGAAGGCGGUGGUCUGGGCCGGCACUGACGCUGAGGAGCGAAAGCGUGGGGAGCGAACAGG
RNAcentral lists this ribosomal RNA (254 nucleotides) under uncultured bacterium. RNAcentral's name for it is "partial 16S ribosomal RNA". It matches the Rfam family "Bacterial small subunit ribosomal RNA", at positions 524 to 776 of the family's 1533-position model. The record is from RNAcentral.